UCCCCGCGCGCUGCCUCAGGCCGUGCGGGGCCGCCCCGCGCUGCCUCUCUCCUGCCGCGGGGUUCGGGUGUAUUUUGCCCCCCUCGUGGCGCCCGGGAGUCUCCACAGCGAAGGGCGUGAAGCGUUUUGGGGUAAACGAGCUGUGUUUUUAUUCACAAGGCGACAGGCUUCCGCCGCCUGGCUGGCCUCGGGGAAAGGCUUUUCCGAGUUCCCCGCGGGAAUGGCUGAGCUGGGAGAGACGAGGACUGUUGAAAAGCAGCAGAUCGCUCUAGGAACUGCCUCUAGAGAAGCAGUUGGCAGCUGAGCUGCGAGUGUGGAGGGCUGAGGCCUCUGUCGUGUUCGUAAUUAAGAGCCUGGAAGCGCCGCGUGAGGCCUGAGGGGGCAGCGCCUUGGGGUGCCCUGGCAGGGCCCUCGAGUGACCUUGAAGGCUAAAGCGGGAGGAGAGGACACCGGGACGGCGCUUGGAACGCAGCACCCGCGCUGCGGAGCUUCGUGCGUGGUGGAUUUCUGCUGGGAAAGGCCCUCGCACGCCCCUGGAUGACGGCCGAAGUUAAUCGGGUUUAUUUUGCGUUUGGCCUCAGCUGGCAGGCAGGCUCAGGCAGCUGCCAGAUGGGAGCGGUGUCAGUAAAUCAUGGCUUAAUCCAGCGAUGAGAUGAUUUCAGGCAGUGGUCAUCUGAACUGUGAUAAAUGUGUACGUUUACAUCUAAAAAAAGCACAAUCCAACAUUGUUUCUUUUUUUUUGGGGUUGGAUGCGGUGUACCACAAAAAGCACCCAAACCUCUCCUGAACUUCACUGACACAAAUUCUUAGUUCAACAGAUCGCUUGGAAAACCAGCAGUCAGUCAGGAUUUUUGACAUAACAUUGAAAUGCCUGUGACUGAAAUGCUUUCUUCUGAAGUUUAGUAUGGAAAACAGGCAGAAAGUAAUGCUAAGCUGGCCAUCUUUACCAGGCUUGUAAUUAUCUACAGUGCAGACUUUUCCCUCGUAAGAAAACAGGACACUGCAGAGUUCAUUUCUAGAAAGGUCACUAACACAUCAACAAUUCCCUCACCACUGUGUCUCCCAAGGCUAUAACAUCUUGCUGCCAGACACAGCCCUCCCACCUAACAAGGAUGGAUGGAUUUACUCCAGAGCCUGCAACCUGCCAGCCACUAAACCUACCAGGGAAGCAAAGAAAACUCCUUUCAGCCAUCCCACCUUGUAAAGACCCUGGUUUCCUUGGGCAUAGGACCUUAUGGAUCACAAAGGGUCUCCACAGCAGGACUGCUGAAGUGAUGUGUUUGCCCUAAACACAGGGAGCAGAUCAUAAGAAAGGUUCCCUGGACCAGGUAAAGGUGCUUAUUCAGCCAGAGCACUUGGGAAGCAAUUCCUCCAUUUACAGCCAUGGGAGGAAGCAGCUCCCAGGCCUGUGAGCAGCAAGAACCAGGAGACCAGAGCAGGGAUCCUCCAACAGGACCGUGUCAAACCCUGCAGAGCACACACUGCCUGACAGGGAGCAGCCCUGUCCCCAGGUGGCUCACCCACAGCUCAUAAGCAGUACUUGGUGCUGUACAUUAGAUGAUCAUUAGCUAAAGCUGGUUUGAAAGCUUCCAGUUUUGUAGGUGUUGAUUUACUACAAUCAAUGGGGACUGCAAAAAAACUCCUCAACAUUUUCAGCAAAAAACAGGUCCCUAGGAGACAUUACCCUGCUGAGCAGUCCCUUCUUAUCAGGGUAGGAAUACCUGAGGAGAGCAGUUGUGGGCAAAUCCUGCCCCUCUGAGCACCACCCUCGCUGAGAGGAUGGAUGUUGGCUCUGCCACACAGCACAGGCCUUGGCACAGGGCAGCAGGACACGUGUCACCUCCCUGUGUACCCUGACACUGCCUGGCACACUUUACACACCAGUUGACUUGAGCCUUUCUAACUGGAGUCAGCACAAACCAGCUGCUGACUGCUCAGAGCAGCCAGGGCUGCAGAGGAAGCUGCUCUCAUUUGUCACGAUGAACCCUUUGCAAAACACAAGCAGCUUCAUACUUUCACACGACCUUUGUUGGCUCAGGGGUGAAUCGCCUUCAUCGCUCCUAUCUUAAUCUUCAAAAGGAACUGGUGGGCUCCGGGCAAAGAGUCAAGAAUGCUCUCACAUAUUUGGGAGCUCUGCUUUACGCAACCUCUCCUGCAACUCGCCUUUGCUGGAAGGGAUGAACGAUACUCAGCCAGUCAGCAAAACACCCACCCUGGGCAGGGGGCGGUGCCAGAGCCUGCUGUGAGCCAACCCGCCUGUCCCUGCACACUACAGAGUCGCUGUGGUACAAGCCCGAGAGCGCCAGAACCUGCAGGGAAGGGCCUGGUUCUCUGCUUCCAUCCUAUCAACAGAAAGUGGGGGGAGUCACUUGCACUGUGCAGACACACGUGGCUGCAGCCAGGGCAGUUCUCACCCAGCAAAACUUAGGAUGGGUUCACAGCCAGGGUGGAAUGGAGCACUGUAAAACCCAACCAAAUCCAUCACUGCUCUGCUGGGAACCUAAAAGUGCCAGUGACAUAAAUUCUGCUGUUGUAAACCAAGAGUAACACUGCUGGAGUCAAUGGAGCUAGACUGGUGUGAUGGAGAGGAGAAUAAGCUGGGUAGUGCUGUGUUUGCACUGGUAGGAGAUUACCCCAAAACCAGACCUUUGGAACAACCCACUGAGGGUUGAGAGGUCACCAGAGCCCCAACAGUGCACAAAAGCCCCACAGUUGGCUGCAGCCCUCCCAGCCCUGUCCUGUCUGGCAGAACAAGCAGCCUCAGCUCCCAGAGGUUCCCGCAAGGCCUCUGCCAGGGCCAGGCAGCUCACAGGGAGAGCACCAGUCCCCUGCACAGAGCUGGAGAAAGUCCUUGGGUACCACAGCUCUAUCCAUCUGCUGUUUGUACCCAUUCCUUGUCUCCAGGCCUCUCUGGUGCUGUGGAGAGCACAGGGCUCUCCCUAAUCCACCCACCCCCUUUGUCUGAGGGGCUGGGUGCUCCCUCUCCCACAGGCAGUGAGAAACCUCUGAGCUUACCUGAGCAGCCAGAGCUUGUCCCUGUGGCCGGGCAGGAUCCCAUCACCCUCCCCAGGAGCAACCCCA
Molecule: long non-coding RNA, 3081 nt
Organism: Apus apus (common swift)
Lineage: Eukaryota; Metazoa; Chordata; Aves; Apodiformes; Apodidae
Exons: 4
Source: RefSeq, a predicted model, not a curated record